GUGCCAGCAGCCGCGGUAAUACGGGGGGAGCAAGCGUUGUUCGGAAUCACUGGGCGUAAAGGGCGUGUAGGCGGCCAAGUAAGUCGGGGGUGAAAUCCACUGGCUCAACCAGUGACGUGCCUUCGAAACUGCCUGGCUUGAGUAUGGCAGAGGGAAGCGGAAUUCCAGGUGUAGCGGUGAAAUGCGUAGAUAUCUGGAAGAACACCGGUGGCGAAGGCGGCUUCCUGGGCCAAUACUGACGCUGAGGCGCGAAAGCCAGGGGAGCGAACGGGAUUAGAUACCCCCGUAGUCC
RNAcentral lists this ribosomal RNA (292 nucleotides) under uncultured bacterium. RNAcentral describes it as "partial 16S ribosomal RNA". It matches the Rfam family "Bacterial small subunit ribosomal RNA", at positions 505 to 796 of the family's 1533-position model. The record is from RNAcentral.